Molecule: non-coding RNA, 398 nt
Filed under: Candidatus Collierbacteria bacterium GW2011_GWA1_42_60
Lineage: Bacteria; Candidatus Collieribacteriota
Source: RNAcentral
CUUCGAGGGUGUUACACAGCUGCUGCAUGGUUGUCGUCAGUUCGUGUCGUGAGCUAUCGCGACCUCUCGCAGUAAUGCGGGAUGAGAAAUUCGACUCAUAUCGGUGAAGCCCUGUUGACUUUCGGUUUAACUUCGGGUUAAAUGAAAUCAAAUGGGUAAUACCGAGGGAAGUCAGACUGACAUUCGGCAAAUUCUAAUACGAAAGAAUAUUCACAUAUUCCUUUCGCAUGAUGAUUUAUGCCAGAAUGUAUGAAAUAUAAAGGUCUUGACCCCGUAACGACUAGAUUCCUGUUUAGACAGGAUGAAGAUGGGUAGAGUAAUCUAUUUCCAUAACACGUCGACCCCUAACGCGAAAGCGAAGGGUGAAGGUAUAGUCUACGUUUGAAGUAAUGUUCAAA